RNAcentral lists this ribosomal RNA (492 nucleotides) under uncultured bacterium. RNAcentral's name for it is "bacterial SSU rRNA". It matches the Rfam family "Bacterial small subunit ribosomal RNA", at positions 9 to 518 of the family's 1533-position model. The record is from RNAcentral.
GAGUUAUGGCUCAGGAUGAACGCUGGCGGCGUGCUUAACACAUGCAAGUCGAACGGAGUUAGAUGAAAGCUGCUUUGACUAAACUAGUGGCGGACGGGUGAGUAACGCGUGGUAACCCGCCUUAUACAGGGGGAUAACAGUCGGAAACGACUGCUAAUACCGCAUAAGCGCACGGAAUCGCAUGAUUCAGUGUAGAAAAGAUCUAUCGGUAUAAGAUGGACCCGCGUCUGAUUAGCUAGUUGGUGAGGUAACGGCCCACCCAAGGCGACGAUCAGUAGCCGGCCUGAGAGGGUGAACGGCCACAUUGGGACUGAGACACGGCCCAAACUCCUACGGGAGGCAGCAGUGGGGAAUAUUGCACAAUGGGGGAAACCCUGAUGCAGCGACGCCGCGUGAGUGAAGAAGUAUUUCGGUAUGUAAAGCUCUAUCAGCAGGGAAGAAAAUGACGGUACCUGACUAAGAAGCCCCGGCUAACUACGUGCCAGCCGCCGC